This 244-nucleotide long non-coding RNA is filed under the name Phoenix dactylifera (date palm). RNAcentral's name for it is "long non-coding RNA (PDAC_LNC002152)". The record is from RNAcentral. Lineage: Eukaryota; Viridiplantae; Streptophyta; Magnoliopsida; Arecales; Arecaceae.
ACACUAUGAAAUAUAUUCUCCAACAACUCGGAUAUUUAAAAUGAAAUAAAGACUACUACACUAGGGUUUUAUCAGUUUCUUUCUACCUGGUCUUAAUUAAUUUGUCUUAUCCCAUAUAUAUGGCGACUUUUUUUGUGUGCAAACAAUUGCUAAAUGAUUAUCAUUUAUUAAGAUAAAAUGAAAUAAUACGAAACAAAUAUAAAAAAAAGUGAUAUACGUUCACUCUAAAGUAAACCAAGCGGCU